GGAGUUGGUAUCUCAGCGGUAGAGUGCAUGCUUUGUAUGUGUGAUAUUCUCGGUUCAAUCCCCAGCUUCUCCU
Molecule: transfer RNA, 73 nt
Filed under: Dallia pectoralis (Alaska blackfish)
Lineage: Eukaryota; Metazoa; Chordata; Actinopteri; Esociformes; Umbridae
Description: tRNA-Thr
Source: RNAcentral